RNAcentral lists this ribosomal RNA (468 nucleotides) under uncultured bacterium. RNAcentral describes it as "partial 16S ribosomal RNA". It matches the Rfam family "Bacterial small subunit ribosomal RNA", at positions 28 to 507 of the family's 1533-position model. The record is from RNAcentral.
GACGAACGCUGGCGGCGUGCUUAACACAUGCAAGUCGAACGGAAAGGCCCUGCUUUUGUGGGGUGCUCGAUUGGCGAACGGGUGAGUAACACGUGAGUAACCUGCCCUUGACUUUGGGAUAACUUCAGGAAACUGGGGCUAAUACCGGAUAGGAGCUCCUGCUGCAUGGGGGGGGUUGGAAAGUUUCGGCGGUUGGGGCUGGACUCGCGGGUUAUCAGCUUGUUGGUGGGGUAGUGGCUUCCCAAGGGUUUGACGGGUAGCCGGCCUGAGAGGGUGGCCGGCGACCAUGGGCCUGAGAGAGGGACCAGAAUCCAACGGGAGGCAGUAGGGGGGAAUCUUGCACAGCGGGCGGAAGCGUGAUGCGAAAACCCCGGGAGCGGGAAGCCGGCUUACGGGUGGUAAACAAAUUUGGCCUGAGCCGAACACUGCGUGACGGUACCGGAUAAAAAAGCCCCGGCUAACUACGUG